This is an RNA transcript of Nomascus leucogenys (northern white-cheeked gibbon), 3460 nucleotides long. It is a transcript of the gene named tRNA methyltransferase 11, with no coding region annotated. The record is from RefSeq and is a predicted model, not a curated record. Lineage: Eukaryota; Metazoa; Chordata; Mammalia; Primates; Hylobatidae.
GAAAGCGGUGGGACCUAGCGCGGGCCGCGCAGGCGCACGGUGGGCAGCUGCAAUGGCGCUGUCGUGUACCUUUAACAGGUAUCUGCUCCUCAUGGCGCAGGAGCAUCUAGAGUUCCGCCUGCCGGAAAUAAAGUCUUUGCUUUCACUUUUUGGAGGUCAGUUUGCCAGCAGUCAAGAAACUUAUGGAAAGUCACCAUUUUGGAUUCUUAGCAUUCCAUCUGAAGAUAUUGCAAGAAAUUUAAUGAAACGGACAGUGUGUGCCAAGUCUAUAUUUGAACUGUGGGGUCAUGGACAAUCUCCUGAGGAGCUGUACAGUUCUCUUAAAAAUUACCCUGUGGAGAAGAUGGUUCCAUUUCUACAUUCAGACUCUACAUAUAAAAUAAAGAUUCACACUUUUAAUAAGACAUUGACACAAGAAGAGAAAAUCAAGCGAAUAGAUGCACUUGAAUUUCUGCCAUUUGAAGGAAAAGUGAAUUUAAAGAAACCACAACAUGUAUUCUCUGUUUUGGAGGAUUAUGGUUUGGACCCAAACUGCAUCCCUGAGAAUCCACAUAAUAUUUAUUUUGGUAGAUGGAUUGCAGAUGGACAGAGAGAGCUUAUUGAGUCAUACAGUGUCAAAAAAAGACACUUUAUUGGAAAUACAAGUAUGGAUGCUGGUUUGUCAUUCAUUAUGGCUAACCAUGGAAAAGUGAAAGAAAAUGAUAUUGUCUUUGAUCCAUUUGUUGGAACAGGUGGCCUCCUGAUAGCAUGUGCUCAUUUUGGUGCAUAUGUGUAUGGGACAGACAUAGACUACAACACAGUUCAUGGCUUGGGAAAGGCUACUAGGAAAAACCAGAAGUGGAGAGGACCAGAUGAAAACAUUAGGGCCAAUCUUCGUCAAUAUGGUUUAGAGAAGCAUUACCUUGAUGUCCUGGUUUCAGAUGCAUCUAAACCUUCCUGGAGGAAGGGCACAUAUUUUGAUGCAAUCAUUACUGAUCCUCCAUAUGGUAUCAGAGAAUCUACAAGAAGAACAGGUUCACAGAAGGAGAUACCAAAGGGGAUAGAAAAAUGGGAAAAAUGUCCAGAAAGCCAUAUUCCUGUUUCCUUGAGUUAUCGUCUGAGUGAUAUGUUUCUUGACCUGUUAAACUUCGCAGCUGAGACGCUCGUGUUAGGUGGAAGACUAGUCUAUUGGUUACCGGUGUAUACGCCAGAAUACACUGAAGAGAUGGUGCCUUGGCACCCUUGCCUGGAACUCAUUAGCAACUGCGAGCAGAAGCUUUCCAGUCACACAUCAAGGCGCUUGAUCACAAUGGAAAAGGUGAAGAAAUUUGAGAAUCGGGACCAGUAUUCACAUCUGCUAAGUGAUCAUUUUCUGCCAUACCAAGGUCAUAAUUCCUUCCGUGAGAAAUAUUUUAGUGGGGUAACAAAAAGAAUUGCCAAGGAAGAAAAAUCCACCCAGGAAUGAAAAUUAAGAUUUUGACAAUGAAGAAAGAAUAAGAAUUGAUUUAAAAAGACAUCUGGAUGUGAACUUUCAUGUAUGAUCCGGAAAAUAGACGGUUACCUUGGUGGUGUUCCUCAGAGGUGUCUCCUUCCUGUCUAUUCUGAUUGGCUAAGCUGAAAACCAGCGCCAUUUCAAUGGACUGCGAUGGCUGUUCAACCUCAGUGCCAGGUAAGCAGAACUGAAAAUGGAUAUAGUUGAUCUGGUCAUUAAGUAGAAUUCAAGGCCAUUCUCAAAGCUCCGACCAAUACCCUCCUUGAGGAGCCUUGUUAUGUUUUUACUGACUGCUAGGUUGUUGCUAAAGACCUAUGGUUUCAUCCGCCACUUGGAAAACUAGAGAUUUGCAGAUUGAAGACAUCCUUCCUUAGGGGCUUUAAACAGUGGAAACAAAUUGUGGCAGCUGAUAGAACUGUCGGGGUCACUCAUAUUGACAUCCAUUGUAAAGUCUCGUUCCCUAAUGAGACCAGCUAGAAUCACUUGGUUAGCUAGCACCACCCAGAUUGCCAUCAUUACUGCCUGGAUCCAUUAUUGUACUGGACAUGGCAACACAUCCACUGUUAUAGACAGGGCACAAGUAAAGUACUUGAUGUUUCUGAUGCAAAGGCUACCAUUUGGUGCUAAACUUGUGACUCCUGCCAAAAGUUGACCUUGUUGCCUCUUGGUAAGGAAGAACACACUGCAUGGGGUGUUGUCUCCACUGCUCUUGGCAGAUUGAUUACCUCAGACCUUCCUCCACCCCUCUUUAGAGCUAUUGGUUGUUCAUCAAUGCUAUUGACACUUUCUCAGGUUACAGGGUUGCUGUUCCAGUGCAAUCAUUUGACUCCAGCCACACCACUUUGGCCCUUGAAACUAAUCUGUGUCAUGUGUUUGGCUUUCUGGACCAUUUGGUAUGACAACGAUACACCUUUUAUUGCUAAAGCCACUCAAUCAUGGGCUACAAUCAAGACAUUGGACAGACUUUCCAUACUUCCUACCAUCCACAGGCAUCUGGAAUCUGUGACCUUUGGAAAUUUGCUCUACAUUUGUUCUAUAUUUUCUCUGGCAGCCCUUUACCAAACCUUCACAGAAAUGCUCAGCACAUUGCUCCAAAGUUACCUCUCAACAGGGCAUUCUUCUGUCCUUUGUGGGAUGCGUAAGUCUUUUAAUUGAUGGUUUUAACUCAGACAAUUGGUGAUUAAUAGUUUGAGUCUCAGGCUGAGAAGAUUUUCCAAAACCAGCACCCGAGAGAGUUGUAACAGUCAGUUGAAAAGGACCACUUUACCUAGUAUGCUUUAUUAUUGAUGUUGAAGCAGGCAAAUAAGUAUUCUAGCUGAUGUAUUAUCUUCAAUUUUCUUUCUCUUUACAUUUUUCUACAGAUUCCAAGAGUGUUAAUUUUUUUUUCUAUUUUAAUGUCAAUUGUUGUUCCUCUGUAUUAGUUGUGUUACUGUAUUUUUUCUGUAAUACAUGUUCUAAGGCUUGUCCAUUGGUGAUUGGUUGAUGUCUAUGGGAGUUCCAUGCAUGGAUCUAAAUAAUGACAAAGGAAUUUACAGUCUGGUUGGGGUGAUGAGACCUACACAUAAAAAGAUAGUUAACACAAGGCAGAAUGAAUUAAGUACCCAGGAGAAGCCUCAGUGGAGUUUCGAAGGAUGAGAAUUUUCUUCAGAGUAGAAUAUUUAAUAAAGAUUUCACAGAAGAUAUGGUGCUUAAGCCAGAACAUUACAAAGUUUUUAAAAACUCAGUUAAGUGGAGAGAGGAAGGAAGCACAUUUCAGAUUGGGGGUGUGUGUGAAUAGUGUGAGGAAAGUUCAGAUGUGAGAACGUGUGAGUCAAGUUCAGAAGAUGAUAGGUCCUAACUAGACUAACUAGAGGGAAGGGUUCAUGUGUAUGAUGGUGGGAGAGGACUUUGAAAAAGGUAGGCUGGGGUCAUGUUGCGAAAGACCUUGAAUGUCAGUCUAAAGAAUUUGUAUUGGACUGGGCAUGGUGGUUCAUGCCUGUAAUCCCAGCA